RNAcentral lists this non-coding RNA (218 nucleotides) under Gracilibacillus boraciitolerans. RNAcentral's name for it is "T-box sequence". It matches the Rfam family "T-box leader". From Rfam's summary of the family: Uncharged tRNA acts as the effector for transcription antitermination of genes in the T-box leader family. T-boxes are found upstream of many aminoacyl-tRNA synthetase genes and some amino acid biosynthetic genes usually in Gram-positive bacteria. The anticodon of a specific tRNA base pairs to a specifier sequence within the T-box motif, and the NCCA acceptor tail of the tRNA base pairs to a conserved bulge in the T-box antiterminator hairpin. Lineage: Bacteria; Bacillati; Bacillota; Bacilli; Caryophanales; Bacillaceae. The record is from RNAcentral.
ACAAAUGCGCGGAUUGGGACAGUAUAUUAAGGAAUACUAAAAUAGCGAAUUAGGGAUGGUGGGAGCCUAGUAUAGCACCUUAAUAGAAAAUCACCCAUGAGUAGUUACACUGAAGCGAGUAAGUGUAAACGAGUCAUUCACGUUACGAAUAUCAGAGUGGAUAGUUAAUUUUAUAGCUAUCUAUAAGGGUGGUACCGCGAGUCCUUCUCGUCCUUUCA